UGGUGUUUGGGUUGUCGCUGCCGGCUGGCUCUGUGCCCGCCCACCGAACUGUCGGCGCGCGAUCCUCCCCUGUUGCUUUGAGGUGGGAUGGUUACUCGGAGGCCGGUUCUUGUGCUGCCUACCCGCUCGGGGGAAGCAUGCCGCACGACGGUCAGCCUCCAUCCGGCGCCCCCGAAAGGGCGCCGGAGGACAACGAUGCGCCCCCCGUGUUCCAACGAGCCUUCGCCGGCCGCGUGGCCCUCGGGGACGCGCAGCGCUCUCGGACCCAGCGCACGCCGCGGACGAGGACUCACGUCCAAGUCCCAAGAGAAGCCCCGAUCUCACGAGUGACGGCCGCGCCCGCCCCUCGGCCGCCCCGGCGGUGCGGGGGCGCGCGGCGUCCCUAAGGAAUGCUACCUGGUUGAUCCUGCCAGUAGUCAUAUGCUUGUCU
Molecule: unclassified non-coding RNA, 430 nt
Filed under: Senegalia berlandieri
Lineage: Eukaryota; Viridiplantae; Streptophyta; Magnoliopsida; Fabales; Fabaceae
Description: partial external transcribed spacer
Source: RNAcentral